This 508-nucleotide ribosomal RNA is filed under the name uncultured bacterium. Its description in RNAcentral is "partial 16S ribosomal RNA". It matches the Rfam family "Bacterial small subunit ribosomal RNA", at positions 28 to 507 of the family's 1533-position model. The record is from RNAcentral.
GACGAACGCUGGCGGCGUGCUUAACACAUGCAAGUCGAACGGGCCUUGUCCCCUUUUUUUUUGGGGGUGGGGUUAGUGGCGAACGGGUGAGUAACACGUGAGUAACCUGCCCCUCACUUCUGGAUAACCGCUUGAAAGGGUGGCUAAUACGGGGUGUUCUGGCCUGCUCGCAUGGGUGGGUUUGGAAAGAUUCGACCGGUUUUGGUUGUUUUGGUGGGGGAUGGGCUCGCGGCCUAUCAGCUUGUUGGUGGGGUGAUGGCCUGCCAAGGCUUUGACUGGUAGCCGGCCUGAGAGGGUGGGCGGUCACACUGGGACUGAGACACGGCCCAGACUCCUACGGGAGGCAGCAGUGGGGAAUAUUGCACAAUGGGCGCAAGCCUGAUGCAGCGACGCCGCGUGAGGGAUGGAGGCCUUCGGGUUGUGAACCUCUUUCGCCAGUGAAGAAGGUCCUGCUCUUUGUGGUGGGGUUGACGGUAGCUGGGUUAAUGAAGCGCCGGCUAACUACGUG